CCUACGGUGUGCAGCAGUGGGGAAUAUUGGGCAAUGGGCGCAAGCCUGACCCAGCAACGCCGCGUGAAGGAAGAAGGCUUUCGGGUUGUAAACUUCUUUUGUCAGGGACGAAGCAAGUGACGGUACCUGACUCCUAAGCCACGGCUAACUACGUGCCAGUAGCCGCGGUAAUACGUAGGUGGCAAGCGUUAUCCGGAUUUACUGGGUGUAAAGGGCGUGUAGGCGGGACUGCAAGUCAGAUGUGAAAACCACGGGCUCAACCUGUGGCCUGCAUUUGAAACUGUAGGUCUUGAGUACUGGAGAGGCAGACGGAAUUCCUGGUGUAGCGGUGAAAUGCGUAGAUAUUAGGAGGAACACCAGUGGCGAAGGCGGUCUGCUGGACAGAAACUGACGCUGAGGCGCGAAAGCGUGGGGAGCAAACAGGAUUAGAUACCCCAGUAGUC
RNAcentral lists this ribosomal RNA (443 nucleotides) under uncultured bacterium. RNAcentral describes it as "partial 16S ribosomal RNA". It matches the Rfam family "Bacterial small subunit ribosomal RNA", at positions 338 to 795 of the family's 1533-position model. The record is from RNAcentral.